RNAcentral lists this ribosomal RNA (248 nucleotides) under uncultured bacterium. RNAcentral's name for it is "partial small subunit ribosomal RNA". It matches the Rfam family "Bacterial small subunit ribosomal RNA", at positions 26 to 288 of the family's 1533-position model. The record is from RNAcentral.
AGAAUCAACGCUGGCGGCGUGCCUAACACAUGCAAGUCGAACGAGAAAGGGUAGCAAUACCUGAGUAAAGUGGCGCACGGGUGAGUAACACGUGACUAACCUACCCUGGAGUGGGGGAUAACUGAGGGAAACCUUAGCUAAUACCGCAUAACACCUACGGGUCAAAGGAGCAAUUCGCUUUGGGAGGGGGUCGCGGUCGAUUAGUUAGUUGGCGGGGUAAUGGCCCACCAAGACUUUGAUCGAUAUCC